UCCGAGCAACUUUUGAGGGCGGGCAUAUUUGAAUUGAACGUCCUUGCGCCACGAACGUGAUUAAACAUGUUCGACUAAACGGCCUUCAACAUUCGAGCAGCGCGGGUUGCGUGUCCUUUUGAAAAGUUUCCCUUACAAAACACGCGCGGAACUUUUUGCACCGUCGCCGCCGCUGUUUUUAAGCGCGCUACUAAAAAACAAAAACAAAAACAAAAAAAAUAUAUAAAUUUAGUGUUGUUUAGUGUUUAGUUUUUGCCCAGCCCCAGCCCCAGCCCCAACACAAAUAAAACAUAAAACAAAAAGUGCAAAUAUUAAUGGAUCUGGUGGAUGUGAUCACGCGCUUAAGGACUUCUCCUCCACUUCCUGCCCCCUGGCAUAACUUGUCCCAGUUUUAAAAUAUUUUAUUUGUGACCAGUGCAAAAAAACAACAACCAAAAGGAUUUCUGUUCUUUGCAUCUUUCCGUUUGUCGCGAGUUUCUUUUGCCCUCUCCCCUCUCCGUUACUUUCGUUUUCGUGUCGCGUCUUAACUCUACCCUACCGCGUCGGCUUCUUCGCGAAAACUGCACUGGACUCUGCCAAUAGCUCCGUAAUUACUUCAGUCUUCAAGUCUCCAAACACCAGUCAACGUUUUGCUAUAGGAAACUCGUACGAAAAUGGAUUAAAACAACGCUUCCAAUCAACGGAUUUGAGAAUACAACAACAAAAAACAACAAUUAUAUUCUGGACAAAAAUCUUGGGAAAAUAUUUCUUCCCUUUUUGGCUAACAAUCAAAAUUAGCAAAAAUAAAAAAACAACUUGGAAACCAAAAAUAAAAUGAAUUAAAAAUCAUAGAAAAUAAAUGACAGACAAAAAUAUCUAAUAUUCUACGAAUUAAGGCCAACAACAACAAAUCGCUAAUGUUUAUGUAAUUCUUAAGGAACCCAAAACAAACAAACAAACGGAAGACAAAGAUUUUUAAGCCUACGAAUUAAGUACAAUCUACAAUUAAAAGAUAUUAAAUAUUAAACGACAAAACAAAAACUUCACUUAACAAACAAAACUGCAACUAUUUUUAUAAUCAACAAAAAAACAACAAAAAGCAACAAA
Long non-coding RNA from Drosophila guanche, 1086 nucleotides. RefSeq lists it as uncharacterized. The record is from RefSeq and is a predicted model, not a curated record. Lineage: Eukaryota; Metazoa; Arthropoda; Insecta; Diptera; Drosophilidae. The transcript has 2 exons.